AUUGAACGCUGGCGGCAGGCCUAACACAUGCAAGUCGAGCGGAUGAAGGGAGCUUGCUCCUGGAUUCAGCGGCGGACGGGUAAGUAAUGCCUAGGAAUCUGCCUGGUAGUGGGGGAUAACGUCCGGAAACGGGCGCUAAUACCGCAUACGUCCUGAGGGAGAAAGUGGGGGACCUUCGGACCUCACGCUAUCAGAUGAGCCUAGGUCGGAUUAGCUAGUUGGUGGGGUAAAGGCCUACCAAGGCGACGAUCCGUAACUGGUCUGAGAGGAUGAUCAGUCACACUGGAACUGAGACACGGUCCAGACUCCUACGGGAGGCAGCAGUGGGGAAUAUUGGACAAUGGGCGAAAGCCUGAUCCAGCCAUGCCGCGUGUGUGAAGAAGGUCUUCGGAUUGUAAAGCACUUUAAGUUGGGAGGAAGGGCAGUAAGUUAAUACCUUGCUGUUUUGACGUUACCAACAGAAUAAGCACCGGCUAACUUCGUG
This 484-nucleotide ribosomal RNA is filed under the name uncultured bacterium. RNAcentral's name for it is "partial 16S ribosomal RNA". It matches the Rfam family "Bacterial small subunit ribosomal RNA", at positions 30 to 507 of the family's 1533-position model. The record is from RNAcentral.